UACGAAGGGUGCUAGCGUUGUUCGGAAUUACUGGGCGUAAAGCGCGCGCAGGCGGCUAGCCAAGUCAGUGGUGAAAGCCCGGAGCUCAACUCCGGAACUGCCAUUGAAACUGUUUAGCUGGAGUAUGAGAGAGGUGAGUGGAAUUCCCAGUGUAGAGGUGAAAUUCGUAGAUAUUGGGAAGAACACCGGUGGCGAAGGCGGCUCACUGGCUCAUUACUGACGCUCAUGCGCGAAAGCGUGGGGAUCAAACAGG
RNAcentral lists this ribosomal RNA (253 nucleotides) under uncultured bacterium. RNAcentral's name for it is "partial 16S ribosomal RNA". It matches the Rfam family "Bacterial small subunit ribosomal RNA", at positions 524 to 776 of the family's 1533-position model. The record is from RNAcentral.